GUGUUAUUACAUUUAACAUGAACAGCAGCACUAUUGAACAGUUCUCUUUUUGAAAUGUAAUGUGAAUUGGAUAGCAGCUUGAAAUGUCUUACAAUACAAAAUCCCUAGGUCAACUAAUGCUGCAUGAUAUUGGGGAAACUGCGUUUUCUUUUCAUGUUCAUACUAUUACAAUUUUUAUUAUUAUUUGGGUCUUCAAGUUUAUUUUCUUUUACAAAUAAGAACCCCUUAUACAUUCAAAGCUACAUUUAAUUUGCAUCAAGAGCCCUGUGACAUUAACUUCUAAGCAAAGAACACUUCAUCUUCAUACACUGCAUGUGAUCCCUUCUCUCUCUCUCCCUCUACACUUUAUGUGCUCAUGGACUAACACACGUCCUGGGAUAUUACCAUGGCACUUGUACACAUAGCAAAAUUAAUGCUUAGAUCAUACCAUGCAGCCCUACAGUCAAACGCAUUUACACUAAGUUGGUGCAGUUUUUUGAGUGAAUAAGAAUUGAAUUCCAAGUUUCUUAUAUUGUCAACUUAAAAUGCAAAAAAACUUGAAUCUAUAUCCUUUUCCACUGUUGUAAUUUUUUUCUGAUUCCUUCUUUCGUCUCACUUUUUUUGUAAAAUCUUCAGUUUUGCUGAUUCUUUGAUUUGUAAGAUGUUGCAGAGUUUGUUAUGGCACACAUUUUACUCUCGACCUUCUUUUUAGGUCGUUAACAUGGACUACGGCAUGAAAGACGAGAACAGCAAAAAUGCAUCCAGGAUUGGCACAACGUGCUUUUCUGAGCAGCUGAUCAGGGUCUUCUGUAAGAAGACUGAUAGAAAGAGUGUGAAGGCUGCAAAAAAGCACUUUGAACAGUGGAAGUUCGAGAAGAAGCCGCAUCUGCUUGGACCUGAGGGUAAUUAAAAGACCAUGGAAAUGACUCAACAACAUGAAUAACACAGAAUUAUUUCUUAUUCAGACUCAGGACUCUUUCUAGCUUUUAUCAUAUACAUGUUGUAUUGUUGUUUUAAAUUGUUGACUCCCUUCUGCAUCUGCAUAAGUUCCAACAACAUACAACAUGAUUUUAUUGAGGACAAAGAUAAAUCAUAACAUAUAAUAAUAUAAACUGAUACAUAGACACACAUGACACUGGAUACAUUACUUACACAGCUAGCAGCUGUAUGGCUGUUGAAUACCAUUUAGGUAAAGAAAGCCAUUAUUGAAAUCCAACAAUCAUUGUCUCAAACUGAAUAUAUAAACUGCAUGUUUCUGAAUUGAUUCAGCUUUUGGUCACAUUUAUGCUUCUUUGUAGGUUGUGAAUUCUUUUUGGUCGGGGAAAGAUGUAAAGCACUCCCAACAUGUGUAAUGGAGUGAAUAUUUCACUUGUGGUUUUAUUUAGGGAUUUAUAAUACUCAGUGGUGUUUUAGUUUUGAUGUUAAUCGUUUGAAGAUUGAGGACAUGAGAUUAGAUUAUUUGUCUUUGAGUGGUGUUUAAUGAGAGAUGAUCAUGAGUGAUGUUUUGGUGACUGGUAUUAUCUUAUAUUACUUUGUAUCUGCAGCAUUUAUUAUCACAAUACAAUUUUAAUCUGUUUUAAAAUGAGUCUUAUUUUGGGCAUGUUUUAUAAUGUGCUCUUCUUUUGAGUUUAUGAUUCUUACUUUCAAAACUGGAACUUGUGAAAACCUUUAUUUGCAUCUAAAAACUUGAAAUUCGAAUUGAAAAAUAUCUUUUAAACGUAUCCAUCAACUACCUUUCUUCAAUGGAUGAUGAAUGUGUUUAAAUGUAUGACACACUUUAAGUGAAGCUAUAAUUGUUUGACGAUUGGUUCUUACAUAAAGCAUCUAUGAGAACCUUUCAAGUGUAUUCCUGUUGUGAUGGGUUCAUAUCUGAUAAAAUCUGCAUGUAUUCAAAAUAAACAUCAGAGAAAAUCCUGAGUUCAA
Labrus bergylta (ballan wrasse) is the source of this 1902-nucleotide non-coding RNA. Lineage: Eukaryota; Metazoa; Chordata; Actinopteri; Labriformes; Labridae. The record is from RefSeq and is a predicted model, not a curated record.